GGAAAUUCCAUUUGUACACUCUAAUGUACAAUCUCUUCACAUGAAAGGGGUCCACACUGAGAGGGAUGUACACUGUAGUGUACAUGUAGCAAAUCUCUAAAAAGAAAAGGAACUACAAUGAGUGUAAUGUACCUCUUAUCCUUGCAUCCUUCCAAGAGUAGGGGAAGACUCAUUACUUGAAGAAUACAAAGUCGACAUGGGACGACAAAAACACAGUGCAUAGUUGAAGGAGAAACAUCAUGCCCCUGUUAGGUGGGGACUAACAUCAGUUCUUAGUAGAUUUUGAUAAAAAUUUGAUGAAAUGUGUGGUUAAAAAGUUGUGUAUUCCAUAAAAUGUAUGAUUAAAAUUAGUUAUUGAUUUUGAUGGGGUCAUGUGAUAUCCCAGCAACUCACCCUUUGGUGGACCUAAAAACCAAUAUUUUAGAACAAAAAUAAUUAAUAAUAAAGUCAAUAGUACGUUAUUUAGUAGAUGGGAAUUGGGAUGCUUCCAUUUUAUCCUUACAAUACUCAAGUUUUCUUCCAUUUUCCGAGGGGCAUAAUAGAUUCAUGUUUGGAUAACUUCAAAAGUCACAAGUUACUUUUAAAAUUUCAAAGCAUAUAAAAUCCCCUUUUAGGCCUUCAAAGGUGUAAUAUAGGGAGUGAAAACAGAGCUUGAUACUUAACUACAAGACAAGCGAUUGGUUCACCAAACUUUGUUUCAGUGUAACCCAUUCUUUUAAGUCCAAGAAUUUGAGCAGAGCAUCACUCAAUGAGGGGACCUCAGAGAUGGCAAUCGAGCUCGUUUGCUAAAAAAAAGCUUGAGCCUGCCCAACUCGAGGCUCGGACCGAGUACCAUUUUUGUGUACUGGGCAAAGCUCGAGCCGGCCCGUGUGACUUGUUAGUUCGGGCUCACAAGCUUAUAUUUAUAUUAAAAAAACAAAUUAAAUUUAAAGGCAGCGUCCUACUGCCUACAACCUAUUGCCUUAAAAAAAGGCAUAUUAAUAAAAAAAUAAAAAAUACCAAAAUCAAAACAAAAAUUGAGUCUGCCCAACUCUACUCGGCUCGUUGACAUCUCUAGAGGACCUAUAGCGUAAGAGGUUGGCCCCCGAAACAAAUAGUUCUUAUGAUGGAUUGUCGGGUUUUAUAUUGAGUGAUAUAUGGUAUGAUUGUGCCUAUCUUUUCCUACAUUAGUUGGUAUUUGUGUUCAAUUCGUUAUGGGAUGUAGAAUGACAUGGAGUACCUUUGACUAUGAACACCAAACGAAUAGUGCUCAGAGUAGAUUUUUUUGUACGAUGAAUGAGUUUAAUUAUAAUAAUCAUGUGGGCCCUCCCACCAUGUGAGUGGAGGCACCCAUUAUGUACAAAAAAUUUAUGUACCACAAGCAUUAUUAUAUAUAUAUAUAUAUAUAUAUGUGUGUGUGUGUGUUUUACAAUAAUCUUAUUUAAACUUUUUAGGUAAAUUAUUGAGCUUACCAAAACAAGCACUAGGAUUGACUUUCCAUCACAUCAUCUCCCUGCAGAGUCUUAAACAGUCACAGCCAGCCAUUCCAUUUAAGAGAAAAGCAUGUUUGAGCUCUAUUUCUUUAUUAUUAUUAUUUUUGGAUUAAAAAUGUAUUUUAGAAAAUUAGUUUGACAGAAAAUGUAUGGUUAAAAAAUAAGAAAAAAAUUUGAAUUUACGUUUAAUAUUAUUUUAUUAAAAAACGUGUGAUUGAAAAAAAAAAAAGAAAAAUAUAUUUUUAAAAUAAUGUGAAUCAAACUAGGGCUUAAUUUUUAAUUUUACUUUGGAGUGCGUAUGGUGUGGGGUGCUUUCGGCCAAUGGUG
This 1799-nucleotide small RNA is filed under the name Olea europaea subsp. europaea. The record is from RNAcentral. Lineage: Eukaryota; Viridiplantae; Streptophyta; Magnoliopsida; Lamiales; Oleaceae.